CAGGACUUACAUGACUGACUGUGCAGUGC
Molecule: non-coding RNA, 29 nt
Filed under: Rattus norvegicus (Norway rat)
Lineage: Eukaryota; Metazoa; Chordata; Mammalia; Rodentia; Muridae
Source: RNAcentral